CCUACGGAGGGGCUGCAGUGGGGAAUAUUGGACAAUGGGCGAAAGCCUGAUCCAGCCAUGCCGCGUGUGUGAAGAAGGCCUUCGGGUUGUAAAGCACUUUCAGUGGGGAAGAAAGCCUUGGGGCUAAUACCCUCGAGGAAGGACAUCACCCACAGAAGAAGCACCGGCUAACUCCGUGCCAGCAGCCGCGGUAAUACGGAGGGUGCGAGCGUUAAUCGGAAUUACUGGGCGUAAAGCGCGCGUAGGCGGUCUGAUAAGCCGGUUGUGAAAGCCCCGGGCUCAACCUGGGAACGGCAUCCGGAACUGUCAGGCUAGAGUGCAGGAGAGGAAGGUAGAAUUCCUGGUGUAGCGGUGAAAUGCGUAGAGAUCGGGAGGAAUACCAGUGGCGAAGGCGGCCUUCUGGACUGACACUGACGCUGAGGUGCGAAAGCGUGGGUAGCAAACAGGAUUAGAUACCCUAGUAGUC
This 466-nucleotide ribosomal RNA is filed under the name Vreelandella stevensii. Its description in RNAcentral is "partial 16S ribosomal RNA". It matches the Rfam family "Bacterial small subunit ribosomal RNA", at positions 337 to 795 of the family's 1533-position model. The record is from RNAcentral. Lineage: Bacteria; Pseudomonadati; Pseudomonadota; Gammaproteobacteria; Oceanospirillales; Halomonadaceae.